This 497-nucleotide ribosomal RNA is filed under the name uncultured bacterium. RNAcentral's name for it is "partial 16S ribosomal RNA". It matches the Rfam family "Bacterial small subunit ribosomal RNA", at positions 28 to 507 of the family's 1533-position model. The record is from RNAcentral.
GAUGAACGCUGGCGGCGUGCCUAAUACAUGCAAGUCGAGCGAACGGACGAGAAGCUUGCUUCUCUGAUGUUAGCGGCGGACGGGUGAGUAACACGUGGAUAACCUACCUAUAAGACUGGGAUAACUUCGGGAAACCGGAGCUAAUACCGGAUAAUAUUUUGAACCGCAUGGUUCAAAAGUGAAAGACGGUCUUGCUGUCACUUAUAGAUGGAUCCGCGCUGCAUUAGCUAGUUGGUAAGGUAACGGCUUACCAAGGCAACGAUGCAUAGCCGAACUGAGAGGGUGAUCGGCCACACUGGAACUGAGAGACGGUCCAGACUCCUACGGGAGGCAGCAGUAGGGAAUCUUCCGCAAUGGGCGAAAGCCUGACGGAGCAACGCCGCGUGAGUGAUGAAGGUCUUCGGAUCGUAAAACUCUGUUAUUAGGGAAGAACAUAUGUGUAAGUAACUGUGCACAUCUUGACGGUACCUAAUCAGAAAGCCACGGCUAACUACGUG